CCCUUAGAUGUUCUGGGCCGCACGCGCGCUACACUGAUGCAUUCAACGAGUCUAAAACCUGCUCUGAUAGGGGUGGGUAAUCUUUUGAAUGUGCAUCGUGAUUGGGAUAGAUGAUUGCAAUUUUUCAUCUUCAACGAGGAAUGCCUAGUAAACGCAAGUCAUCAGCUUGCAUUGAUUACGUCCCUGCCCUUUGUACACACCGCCCGUCGCUCCUACCGAUUGAAUGAUCCGAUGAAUAUCAUGGAUUGAGGAUGCAAGCAGGUUCGCCUGUCUUCAUCUUCGGGAAGUGAAGUAAAUCUUAUCAUUUAGAGGAAGGAGAAGUCGUAACA
Molecule: ribosomal RNA, 329 nt
Filed under: uncultured eukaryote
Lineage: Eukaryota
Description: partial 18S ribosomal RNA
Rfam family: Eukaryotic small subunit ribosomal RNA
Source: RNAcentral